This 775-nucleotide ribosomal RNA is filed under the name uncultured Neocallimastigales. Its description in RNAcentral is "partial large subunit ribosomal RNA". It matches the Rfam family "Eukaryotic large subunit ribosomal RNA", at positions 19 to 621 of the family's 3401-position model. Lineage: Eukaryota; Fungi; Neocallimastigomycota; Neocallimastigomycetes; Neocallimastigales. The record is from RNAcentral.
CGAGCACGCGCGUGUGGCAUAUCAAUAAGCGGAGGAAAAGAAACUAACAAGGAUUCCCUUAGUAACGGCGAGUGAAGCGGGAAGAGCUCAAAUUUGAAAUCUUCAAGGUUCUACCUUGACGAAUUGUAGUUUAUAGAAGUGUUUUCUGUUAGUAGGAGUGGCAAAAGUUCUUUGGAAUAGGACAUCAUAGAGGGUGAGAAUCCCGUAUUUGGUCAUUCCUCCUAGCGUUGUGAUACACUUUCAACGAGUCGGAUUGUUUGGGAAUGCAGUCCAAAAUGGGUGGUAAAUUUCAUCUAAAGCUAAAUAUUGGCGAGAGACCGAUAGCGAACAAGUACCGUGAGGGAAAGAUGAAAAGAACUUUGAAAGGAGAGUUAAACAGUACGUGAAAUUGUCAAAAGGGAAGCGUUUGACACCAGUGUUGUUUUUCCGAAAAUCAAUUACGAAUGUUUUAUUUUUGAGGAGUUAUGACUUCAUCGGCUUGCUCCUUUCUUUACUGAAACUUUCUUAAUGCACUUUUCGGUUAACAAGUCAACAUCAAUUUCUUUUGUUGUAAAAGGGUAUGAGGAAGGUGGCUUUCUUUUCGGAGAAAGUGUUUAUAGCCUUGUGCCUCUGCAAUCGGAGAGAUUGAGGUCUGCAGCGUAGAUCCUUCGGGGUUAGAUACGUAGAUGCUAAGUUAUAGUUUUUAUAGACAACUUGUUGACUAUGAUUAGUCAUGUAGCUUACUCGUUGACGCUAUUUUACCUACGCUUAGGAUGUUGAACUCUAUCACACACAG